This 97-nucleotide non-coding RNA is filed under the name Lachnospiraceae bacterium 2_1_46FAA. RNAcentral's name for it is "Purine riboswitch aptamer". It matches the Rfam family "Purine riboswitch aptamer". From Rfam's summary of the family: Riboswitches are metabolite binding domains within certain messenger RNAs that serve as precision sensors for their corresponding targets. Allosteric rearrangement of mRNA structure is mediated by ligand binding, and this results in modulation of gene expression. Lineage: Bacteria; Bacillati; Bacillota; Clostridia; Lachnospirales; Lachnospiraceae. The record is from Rfam by way of RNAcentral. RNAcentral also lists the same sequence under 1 other name.
AGUAUUAUAUAUAAUGGAUUGGGUAUAAGUCUGCAAAAUGGGCAGACGUUUCUACCAACCGCCAAACUGGUUGACUACCGCAUGGGUAGUCAAUUUU